CCUACGGGUGGCAGCAGUAGGGAAUAUUGGUCAAUGGAUGCAAGUCUGAACCAGCCAUGCCGCGUGCAGGAAGAAGGCCUUCUGGGUUGUAAACUGCUUUUGCCGGGGGAUAAAAAGCUCAUGCGUGAGUAAUUGAAGGUACCCGGUGAAUAAGCCACGGCUAACUACGUGCCAGCAGCCGCGGUAAUACGUAGGUGGCAAGCGUUGUCCGGAUUUAUUGGGUUUAAAGGGUGCGUAGGUGGUUUUGUAAGUCAGUGCUGAAAUAUCCCGGCUUAACCGGGAGGGUGGCAUUGAUACUGCAGGACUUGAGUAAAGUUGAGGUAGGCGGAAUUGACGGUGUAGCGGUGAAAUGCUUAGAUAUCGUCAAGAACACCUAUUGCGAAGGCAGCUUACUAAGCUUUAACUGACACUGAUGCACGAAAGUGUGGGGAUCAAACAGG
RNAcentral lists this ribosomal RNA (440 nucleotides) under uncultured bacterium. Its description in RNAcentral is "bacterial SSU rRNA". It matches the Rfam family "Bacterial small subunit ribosomal RNA", at positions 338 to 776 of the family's 1533-position model. The record is from RNAcentral.